Non-coding RNA from Labrus bergylta (ballan wrasse), 1049 nucleotides. The record is from RefSeq and is a predicted model, not a curated record. Lineage: Eukaryota; Metazoa; Chordata; Actinopteri; Labriformes; Labridae.
GGACCGGGACCGGGAGCGGGAGCGGGACCGGGAGCGGGACCGGGACCGGGAGCGGGACCGGGAGCGGGAGAGGCAGUUCUGUGAACUUUGUGGUAAAAUGGAAAACCUCCUGAAGUGCGGGAGGUGCCGGAGCUCCUUCUACUGCAGCAAGGAGCACCAGAAACAGCACUGGAAGAAACACAAGCUCCUGUGUAAGGAGGCGGACAAACCAGCACCACCCGGGGACCACAAGGCACCACCCGGGGACCACAAGGCACCACCCGGGGACCACAAGGCACCACCCGGGGACCACAAGGCACCGGAGAAACCCCGCGAAAAGACCGGAGACAGCACGGCUUCACCGACAGAACCCGGGGACAAACCGGGGGACAAACCGGGGGACAAACCGGGGGACAAACCGGGGGACAAACCGGGGGACAAACCGGGGGACAAACCAGGAGAGGACGGGUCUAACGACACCGCCACACCUAACGGACAGAGCAGCUCGUCCCCACAGAAACUGGCCGUGGAUUACAUCGUUCCCUGCAUGAACAAACACGGGAUCUGCGUGGUGGACCACUUCCUCGGAGACGAGACCGGGAUGGGGAUCCUGGACAACGUCAAAGCCCUGCACAAGACCGGGAAGUUCACGGACGGACAGCUGGUGAGUCAGAAAAGUGAUUCGACCAAAGACAUCCGGGGGGACAAAAUCACGUGGAUCGAGGGCCGGGAGUCCGGCUGCGAGAAGAUCCGGUUUCUGAUGAGCCGCAUGGACGACCUGAUCCGGUACUGCAACGGAAACCUGGGGGACUACACGAUCAACGGGAGGACAAAAAUCCCAGGUCAGGAUAGGCAAUGGAGCCUGAAUGCAACUGAAGGGACUUCUGGCCUGUCAGUCAUGUGAUCCACGCAGGAAGCCACUCGAAAAUAUAAACCUGAUUGAAACUCAAAGACGACUGUGAGGGAAAACGACGGGCUCCGAUUUUAAAGCUGUUCUUACACCAUCUGCACGAAGUGUCCUACAGAAGUCAACCUCACCCCCCAAGAAUUAAAAAACACAAACACAUAUU